Molecule: long non-coding RNA, 1858 nt
Filed under: Betta splendens (Siamese fighting fish)
Lineage: Eukaryota; Metazoa; Chordata; Actinopteri; Anabantiformes; Osphronemidae
Description: lncRNA (ENSBSLG00000011451.1)
Source: RNAcentral
AAAUUCUUGGAUGCGACGCAAGAAGCCUGUUUGCUUUUCCUCAGACGUUGUUCAUUAAUAACGGAGUGUUCUGCUCCGUUAGCAACAAGGAGCUCGUACCCGCCUCGCUCAAACAUGAGGUAACGACACGUUGAGAUGUUCAUGGUUAGUAAAUGUCAGUCUCUCAGGUGAACUUUGACGUUUGUAGCGUUCAGAUAAUAAAUGGGCUGUUAUGAUGACUUGUAAGAGCUGAAGGCAGAGCAUAAAGGCUGCCUUGUAAAGGGUGAGAGGUGUUCGUGGGGCUGUGGCUCUGACAUCGCUGGACCUGAGCUUUGUUACAUCAUCAGCAGAUGAGCGGCCGUGGUCGUGCAUCCAGUGUUUGGACUCAUUCACAGCCUGUUCAUGAGUAAACCAGCUUUGUGUGUGGUUGAAGCGCUCGUCUGAGUCUGCUCAGUAGGAAACGUCUCCAUCAGACACUUUUAGGUGAAUCAGUCCUGAAUGAUGAAUCUGUGCCCUGGCUUCACGCUCGUUGCAGAAUCCAUCAUAGUGACUCUUUGCUGCUGCUGUCUGCUAAUUGUGAUGUUUACAGGCUUCUCUCAAACUGAACGUCGUCUGUGGGUCUUUGUGGCCUCGGUCCUGGUCACUUUCCCCUUGUUCCUGUUGUUGCUGAAGACUGCGGCGUGGUUUGGAGUCGAUCCAGUGGAAUCGCUGCUCAAACCAGGGGCACGUUUCCUGCCUUACCACCUGACUGGAACCAUCAGAAACCUGGAGGAACUCAUCGCGCUCCUGUUCAAGGUGUGUAGACGUCUUCCUGGCUUCAGCACCGCACAUUAUUGCUGCUUCAGCUCAUCCUACAACGUACAUGGGACUCACUGCUGAGCCAGCGGGCAGCCAGGGAGCUAAUUAGCUUCCUCCUGUCUGGAGUGUGUGGUCAGAGCAGGUAGCAUCCGUGUGUGUGUGUGUGUGUGUGUGUAUGUGUGUGUGUGUGGUCAGGGCAGGUAGCAUCCGUGUGUGUGUGUGUGUGUGGUCAGGGCAGGUAGCAUCCGUGUGUGUGUGUGUGUGUGGUCAGGGCAGGUAGCAUCCGUGUGUGUGUGUGUGUGUGUGGUCAGGGCAGGUAGCAUCCGUAUGUGUGUGUGUGGGGGGUCAGGGCAGGUAGCAUCCGUGUGUGUGUGUGUGUGGGGGGGGUCAGGGUAGGUAGCAUCCGUGUGUGUGUGUGUGUGGUCAGGGCAGGUAGCAUCCGUGUGUGUGUGGUCAGGGCAGGUAGCAUCCGUGUGUGUGUGGUCAGGGCAGGUAGCAUCCGUGUGUGUGUGGUCAGGGCAGGUAGCAUCCGUGUGUGUGUGGUCAGGGCAGGUAGCAUCCGUGUGUGUGUGUGGGGGGUCAGGGUAGGUAGCAUCCGUGUGUGUGUGUGGGGGGUCAGGGUAGGUAGCAUCCGUGUGUGUGUGUGUGUGGUCAGGGUAGGUAGCAUCCGUGUGUGUGUGUGUGUGGUCAGGGCAGGUAGCAUCCGUGUGUGUGUGUGGUGGUCAGGGCAGGUAGCAUCCGUGUGUGUGUGUGUGGUCAGGGCAGGUAGCAUCCGUGUGUGUGUGUGUGUGGGGGGUCAGGGCAGGUAGCAUCUGUGUGUGUGUGUGUGUGUGUGUGUGUGUGUGUGUGUGUGUGUGUGUGUGUGUGUGUGUGUGGUCAGGGCAGGUAGCAUCCGUGUGUGUGUGUGGUCAGGGCAGGUAGCAUCCGUGUGUGUGUGUGGUCAGGGCAGGUAGCAUCCGUGUGUGUGUGUGUGUGUGGUCAGGGCAGGUAGCAUCCGUGUGUGUGUGUGUGGUCAGGGCAGGUAGCAUCCGUGUGUGUGUGUGUGGUCAGGGCAGGUAGCAUCCGUGUGUGUGUGUGUGUG